Molecule: ribosomal RNA, 669 nt
Filed under: Corynebacterineae bacterium GUDS1566
Lineage: Bacteria; Bacillati; Actinomycetota; Actinomycetes; Mycobacteriales; Corynebacteriaceae
Description: bacterial SSU rRNA
Rfam family: Bacterial small subunit ribosomal RNA
Source: RNAcentral
AAACUGGGUCUAAUACCGGAUAGGACUGCGCGGUGCAUGCCGUGUGGUGGAAAGAUUUAUCGGUGCAGGAUGGGCCCGCGGCCUAUCAGCUUGUUGGUGGGGUAAUGGCCUACCAAGGCGACGACGGGUAGCCGGCCUGAGAGGGCGACCGGCCACACUGGGACUGAGACACGGCCCAGACUCCUACGGGAGGCAGCAGUGGGGAAUAUUGCACAAUGGGCGCAAGCCUGAUGCAGCGACGCCGCGUGAGGGAUGACGGCCUUCGGGUUGUAAACCUCUUUCAGCAGGGACGAAGCGUGAGUGACGGUACCUGCAGAAGAAGCACCGGCCAACUACGUGCCAGCAGCCGCGGUAAUACGUAGGGUGCAAGCGUUGUCCGGAAUUACUGGGCGUAAAGAGCUCGUAGGCGGUUUGUCGCGUCGUCUGUGAAAACCAGCAGCUCAACUGUUGGCUUGCAGGCGAUACGGGCAGACUUGAGUAUUUCAGGGGAGACUGGAAUUCCUGGUGUAGCGGUGAAAUGCGCAGAUAUCAGGAGGAACACCGGUGGCGAAGGCGGGUCUCUGGGAAAUAACUGACGCUGAGGAGCGAAAGCGUGGGUAGCGAACAGGAUUAGAUACCCUGGUAGUCCACGCCGUAAACGGUGGGCGCUAGGUGUGGGUUUCCUUCCAC